CAAUGGCUGACUUGUGUAAUUCUAGUACACUAAGCCCUAGGCUGAGCAUUUCCAUGCAUUAUUUGGCUUUGAGCAUGAUGCUGUGAAGGAUGUAUCAAAAGCCUUAAUUUACAGGCUUAUGUGAUAUCACAUAUAAUGUAGUCUCUGGAAAAGGCCAUGUAACACUUUUGAGAAACUGACACAAAGAUAAAUACCAUCUUAGUAUUAUGAAAAGAGCUUUGAACAGAAAGAACCACCUGAAAAUCUUGGUUACCACUCCCCACUCCCCGUUUCAGAGUUCUCUGGACUAGAUUUUGAGAACUACUCUAAGAGGAUGCCUCGGAAGCAGAGAGAAGGAAUAUCUCAGAGAGAUGAAAUGAAAGAAUAAGAAAAUAUGUGUCAGCAAAAUUUGGUGGAAGAAUGUCACAAAGAAAUUUCAGCUUAAUUUCCAAUUCAAAAGAGUAAAUAAAGGAUCUCUGCUUUGCAGGGGAAUCAUU
This is a long non-coding RNA of Neofelis nebulosa (Clouded leopard), 476 nucleotides long. RefSeq lists it as uncharacterized. The transcript has 2 exons. Lineage: Eukaryota; Metazoa; Chordata; Mammalia; Carnivora; Felidae. The record is from RefSeq and is a predicted model, not a curated record.